GGCCGCCUGGCGAAAUGGUAUCGCGUCUGACUACGAUAGGUUGUAAACAAGUUGGUAAUCAGGAGAUUGCAGGUUCGAGCCCUGCGGUGGUCA
This is a transfer RNA of Fomitiporia mediterranea MF3/22, 93 nucleotides long. It matches the Rfam family "tRNA". From Rfam's summary of the family: Transfer RNA (tRNA) molecules are approximately 80 nucleotides in length. Their secondary structure includes four short double-helical elements and three loops (D, anti-codon, and T loops). The record is from Rfam. Lineage: Eukaryota; Fungi; Basidiomycota; Agaricomycetes; Hymenochaetales; Hymenochaetaceae.